ACUUAUAGUUAUGCCACCCUGAACAAGCCCAAUCCUGUCUGAUCUGGGAAAUUAAGCAGGAUUGGGCCUGGUUAGUACUUGGAUGGGAAACCACUUAGGAAGACCAGGUGUAGUAGGUG
RNAcentral lists this ribosomal RNA (119 nucleotides) under Pteropus alecto (black flying fox). The record is from RNAcentral. Lineage: Eukaryota; Metazoa; Chordata; Mammalia; Chiroptera; Pteropodidae.